Long non-coding RNA from Capsicum annuum, 1466 nucleotides. RefSeq lists it as uncharacterized. Lineage: Eukaryota; Viridiplantae; Streptophyta; Magnoliopsida; Solanales; Solanaceae. The transcript has 5 exons. The record is from RefSeq and is a predicted model, not a curated record.
CCACAUCCCUUAUAGAAACAGCAAACUCACUUUACUCUUGCAGAACUCUUUAGGUGGACAUGUGAAAACGUUGAUGUUUGCUCAUGUCAGUCCUGAAGGGGAUUCCUUUGGAGAAACAAUUAGUACUCUGAAGUUUGCGCAGAGGGUUUCGAGUUUGGAACUUGGUGCAGCUCGUUUAAAUAAAUAGAGCGUCGAAGUUUUAGAGCUCAAGGCAGAGAUCGAGACCCUCAAAAAGGCAUUGGCUAACAAGGAAGCACCAAUUCCUCAAACUAACAAACCAAAGGAAGCAUCAAGGACACCUUUCCAGAAGCCUAAAGCAACAGCUGAGCUUCAGGAAGGAUAUGAUGUAACAAAAUUGUAUGAUCAAGUAGGUAAUGAUAGUUUCAUGAAGACUCCUCCGAGUCCACCUUUUGCUUUUAGAAGCCAGGAUACUCCUCAAACUCCAGCUUCUGGUCUCAAAUACCAGUAAGCUCCUCGGAGUCCAACUUCUGGUUUUAAAAGCCAACAGCCUCCUCGGAGUCCAACUUCUGGUUUCAAAAGCAAGCAUGCUCCUCUGAGUCCAACUUCCACCUAUAAAAGUCAGUAGCUUCCUCGAAGUCCAACUUCUUGUUUCAAAAGCCAGCAGGCACCUCGGAGUCCAACUUCCGCUUUGAAGAGUUGCAAUGCACCUAGGAGUCCAACAAGUGCUGCCAUCAAAAGCCAGGUUGUGAAAACAACAGAUAACAGAACAAGGAUUCCUUCUCUUCAACUACCCAAGACACCCGAGCCACUGAUAACCUUUAUAAGUGAGAACAAGGCAGGAAUGCAAAGUAACCGUACCAUUUCAUCUGAAUUCCAGAAGCCUUUGACUAGCAGUACUCAUGGAAAGGGAUCUCAAAUAUGAAGAUCACUUUGGAUUAUUGGGAAACUGAUUAAUGGUUCUGAUAGAAAGAACCAACAGAAAAGGACUGAAGCAGCAGCCCCAUUAUCACCUUUUAGUUGCCAAUAUGAGGAGAAGUCAUCAAUGACAUCUAAUGCAAGGACACUGAGAAGACAAUCCUUAACUGGCAUCCCACUACCAACCAUGUCGAGAAGAUCUUUACUUGGAGGAGGGAGCGUUCCGGAUUUUUGUGCAAAUGAAAAUAGAAAUUGCAAAACUCUAGGCGCGUCAGCCAAGUUAACAAAGAGGUGGCUAUGAGGAAACAACACUAAGUAGUUAACACCAAGAAGCUGAUACAUGAAAUAAAGAUUGAAAGACAUAAAUAGCUGGAAAGGGAGAUUAAAAGAAGUCAGUCCACCUCAGCAACCAGUUCAAGAAAGUAAUUAUAACUGCCAAUUAGUUAGACAGUUUUUUUUACUGUCACUGUUCAUUCUCAAAUCAGUUAAAAGUAGUUACAAUUGUAUUCAUAGUGUAUUCCAUUUUCAGAUAAAUAGGGAAUUUGUGCAAUAAAGAAUCAUCAAUAACAAAUAUCAAUUUUUGUUCUAAA